GUCCACGCCGUAAACGAUGGGUGCUAGGUGUGGGAGGUGUCGACUCCUCCUGUGCCGAAGCUAACGCAUUAAGCACCCCGCCUGGGGAGUACGGCCGCAAGGCUAAAAACUCAAAGGAAUUGACGGGGGCCCGCACAAGCAGCGGAGCAUGUGGUUUAAUUCGACGCAACGCGAAGAACCUUACCAAGGCUUGACAUGUACGGGAAUGUCGUGGAAACACGGCAGCCCUUCGGGGCUCGUGCACAGGUGGUGCAUGGCUGUCGU
RNAcentral lists this ribosomal RNA (264 nucleotides) under uncultured bacterium. RNAcentral describes it as "partial 16S ribosomal RNA". It matches the Rfam family "Bacterial small subunit ribosomal RNA", at positions 793 to 1055 of the family's 1533-position model. The record is from RNAcentral.